AGAGUUUGAUCCUGGCUCAGGAUGAACGCUGGCGGCGUGCUUAACACAUGCAAGUCGAACGAAGCAUUUACACGGAAUCCCUCGGGAGGAAGUGUGAAUGACUGAGUGGCGGACGGGUGAGUAACGCGUGGGCAACCUGCCCCGUACCGGGGGAUAACAGCCGGAAACGGCUGCUAAUACCGCAUAUGCUUUGCGGACCGCAUGGCCCGCAAAGCAAAACUCCGGUGGUACGGGAUGGGCCCGCGUCUGAUUAGCUGGUUGGCGGGGUAACGGCCCACCAAGGCGACGAUCAGUAGCCGGCCUGAGAGGGCGGCCGGCCACAUUGGGACUGAGACACGGCCCAGACUCCUGCGGGAGGCAGCAGUGGGGAAUAUUGCACAAUGGGGGAAACCCUGAUGCAGCGACGCCGCGUGGGCGAGGAAGUACCUCGGUAUGUAAAGCCCUAUCAGCAGGGAAGAAACAAGACAGUACCUGACUAAGAAGCCCCGGCUAACUACGUGCCAGCAGCCGCGGUAAUACGUAGGGGGCAAGCGUUAUCCGGAUUCACUGGGCGUAAAGGGAGCGCAGGCGGCAUGGCAAGUCUGAUGUGAAAACCCGGGGCCCAACCCCGGGAGUGCAUUGGAAACUGCCAGGCUGGAGUGUCGGAGGGGUAAGCGGAAUUCCUAGUGUAGCGGUGAAAUGCGUAGAUAUUAGGAGGAACACCAGUGGCGAAGGCGGCCUGCUGGACGAUGACUGACGUUGAGGCUCGAAAGCGUGGGGAGCAAACAGGAUUAGAUACCCUGGUAGUCCACGCCGUAAACGAUGACUACUAGGUGUCGGGUGGCAAAGCCAUUCGGUGCCGCAGCAAACGCAAUAAGUAUUCCACCUGGGGAGUACGUUCGCAAGAAUGAAACUCAAAGGAAUUGACGGGGACCAGCACAAGCGGUGGAGCAUGUGGUUUAAUUCGAAGCAACGCGAAGAACCUUACCAAGUCUUGACAUCCUGCUGACCGUCCCUUAGCCGGGGCUUUCCUUCGGGACAGCAGAGACAGGUGGUGCAUGGUUGUCGUCAGCUCGUGUCGUGAGAUGUUGGGUUAAGUCCCGCAACGAGCGCAACCCCUAUCCCCAGUAGCCAGCAGUAAGAUGGGCACUCUGUGGAGACUGCCAGGGAGAACCUGGAGGAAGGCGGGGAUGACGUCAAAUCAUCAUGCCCCUUAUGAUUUGGGCUACACACGUGCUACAAUGGCGUAAACAGAGGGAGGCGAAGGAGCGAUCCGGAGCAAACCCCAGAAAUAACGUCCCAGUUCGGAUUGCAGGCUGCAACCCGCCUGCAUGAAGCUGGAAUCGCUAGUAAUCGCGGAUCAGAAUGCCGCGGUGAAUACGUUCCCGGGUCUUGCACACACCGCCCGUCA
This 1390-nucleotide ribosomal RNA is filed under the name uncultured bacterium. Its description in RNAcentral is "bacterial SSU rRNA". It matches the Rfam family "Bacterial small subunit ribosomal RNA". The record is from RNAcentral.